RNAcentral lists this long non-coding RNA (436 nucleotides) under Musa acuminata (dwarf banana). RNAcentral describes it as "long non-coding RNA (MACU_LNC002691)". Lineage: Eukaryota; Viridiplantae; Streptophyta; Magnoliopsida; Zingiberales; Musaceae. The record is from RNAcentral.
CGAGAUUGAUGCUGCUCAGCCUUGAGGACAAGGCUGAUUUGAAGAGGGAGGAACUGUUAGGACCCUUUUUCUGAGCUUUUGAAUAAUGUUUAUUGAGUCUGUUUAGUCCAUUUGUUUAUUGAGUCGGUUUGGUUCAGUUAGAGUCAAGUAGAGGUUUAUCUAAUAUUUAUUUAUUAUUAAAGUUCAAGUCCUGAUGGACUCUGGGUGGAACUCUAUAAAUAGGGAUGUAACUGCUUCUUUUCAGUAAUCUAUGAAAAAUACUAUUUUGUCUUUGGACAACCCUAGGAGGCCGAUCCCCUCGAAGUGAUCAAGGAGGGCCGAUCCCCUCGAAGUGAUCAAGGAGGGCCGAUCCCGUCGAAGCGAUCAAGGAGGCCGAUCCCCUCGAAGUGAUCAUUAUCAUCCCAUUUCUCCCCUUUCUUCGACGAUAAGACUUUAG